ACCACAUUAAACCAUCUUAAACCUGUCACUGCUGAAGCGUUUGCAUAGAGAGAGUGUUUUACAUGAGCGACACACGCUUCAGUGCUCUGCAUGUGUUUAUAACUCUGUCAAACAUCAAACAUGAUCAACAACUGUUUUUCACUAGAACUGAACCUACAACCAACAAAAAUGACUUUCAGCACCAUAUUGAUCUGGACGCUGGCAGUAUUAUGUCGAGAAUCUGUUGGUCAGGUGACAGUGACUCAAACUCCCUCAGAGCUGCUCUCUCAAACUGGACAAUCAGUCACUGUGACCUGUAAAACUAGCAGUGAUCCAGUCUCCUGGUGUGAUGGCAAACACUGUCUUGCCUGGUACUUACAGAAACCUGGAGAAGCUCCUAAACUCCUGAUUUAUUAUAUAAACCGCCUCCAGUCAGGAACUCCAUCUAGAUUCAGUGGCAGUGGAUCUAACAGUGAUUUCACUCUGACCAUCAGUGGAGUCCAGACUGAAGAUGCUGGACAUUAUUACUGUCAGAGUUAUCACUACAUCAACAGUAAAGCAGUGUUCACACAGUGAUAAAGAGUCGUACAA
This is a non-coding RNA of Megalobrama amblycephala (Wuchang bream), 570 nucleotides long. Lineage: Eukaryota; Metazoa; Chordata; Actinopteri; Cypriniformes; Xenocyprididae. The record is from the annotation of a RefSeq genome assembly.